Small nucleolar RNA from Hemiscyllium ocellatum (epaulette shark), 148 nucleotides. The record is from RefSeq and is a predicted model, not a curated record. Lineage: Eukaryota; Metazoa; Chordata; Chondrichthyes; Orectolobiformes; Hemiscylliidae.
ACUGCACAUUAUUAAAACUGGGAGCUGGGGCCAGUGAGCUCUCAAGUGUCGGAAAUGUGCUACAGUAAAUCUGGCAGGUUUUUCGCUAACACCACAAGGGUCUAGGUGACUCGAUGAGUGGGGUUUGAUAGUAGUCCUUGUCACAAUU